CCUACGGGUGGCUGCAGUCGAGAAUCUUCCGCAAUGGGCGAAAGCCUGACGGAGCGACGCCGCGUGGAGGAUGAAGGCCUUCGGGUUGUAAACUCCUGUCACGAGUUAAGAAGUGUAGUCAGCGAACAGUUGGCUGCAUUGACGUAAGCUCGAGAGGAAGCACUGGCUAACUCUGUGCCAGCAGCCGCGGUAAUACAGAGAGUGCAAACGUUGUUCGGAAUUACUGGGCUUAAAGCGCACGUAGGCGGCGCCAUAAGUGUCGGGUGAAAUCCCAC
RNAcentral lists this ribosomal RNA (275 nucleotides) under uncultured bacterium. RNAcentral describes it as "partial 16S ribosomal RNA". It matches the Rfam family "Bacterial small subunit ribosomal RNA", at positions 338 to 605 of the family's 1533-position model. The record is from RNAcentral.